This 2367-nucleotide ribosomal RNA is filed under the name Triticum aestivum (bread wheat). Its description in RNAcentral is "partial small subunit ribosomal RNA". The record is from RNAcentral. Lineage: Eukaryota; Viridiplantae; Streptophyta; Magnoliopsida; Poales; Poaceae.
CUAGACUGCAAGUUGCUCUCUAAAUGAGCCGCGACCUCGCCCGGCUCUUCUUCCUCCUCUAGCUAGGGCUAAGCUGAUCUUCUCCCCCUUCGCCGGCCGCUCCACCCCCACCGGUCCAGCCCCCGCCAGAUUCCCGCCGCUGACAAGCCAAAGUUGCCUUGGAACUUUGAGCUCUUCAAGAUGCCUAGACGGACAGAAGAUGCUGAACCAAAAGAGUGCUUGGAGUUUGAUGAUAAUGAAGAGGAAGAGGUAGAAGAGGAAGAAAUUGAGUAUGAAGAAAUUGAGGAGGAGGUAGAGGAGGAGGUGGUGGAGGAGGAGGAGGAGGAGGAGGAGGAAGUGGAGGAGGUAGAGGAGGAGGAAGACCCUGAAGAAAGAGAAGUUCUUGAUGAAAUUGAUGCUAGUCAUGACAGUGACAGUAAAUCGGAAGUUGUCCCUCUUCCUCAGCAGGAUGGUGCCAAAGAUGGGAGCGAUAAAGAGAAGCAUGCCGAACUUCUUGCUCUUCCUCCUCAUGGAUCUGAAGUAUAUUUUGGGGGCAUCUCCAGCGAUGCAUCUUCUGACGAUCUCAAGAAACUAUGCGAGCCAGUUGGCGAAGUUGUGGAAGUUAGAAUAAUGCUGAGCAAGAAGGAUAGUAGGGGAUAUGCUUUUGUUACUUUCAGAACUAAUGACCUGGCUUUGAAGGCCAUCGAGAAAUUGAACAAGGCAACUUUCAAGGGAAAGAAGCUAAGAGUUUCUUCCUCCCAGGCUAAGAACAAGCUAUUUGUUGGAAAUAUACCUCACAGUUGGUCAUUCGAUGAUUUUAAAAAAGCAGUGGAAGAAGUUGGUCCUGGAGUAUUAAAAGUUGAUCUGAUUAAGGAUCCACGUACAGAUCGCAAUCGGGGUUAUGGUUUCGUUGAAUACUAUAAUAAUGCAUGCGCUGAGUAUUCAAGGCAGAAGAUGACUGCACCAAAUUUCAAACUAGAUACAAAUGCUCCUACUGUCAGCUGGGCAGAUCCUAAGAAUGGCGAUUCUGCCUCUACAGGCUCUACUUCACAGGUCAAAUCUGUAUAUGUCAAAAACCUGCCCAAGAAUGUUACUCAAGGGCAGCUGAAAAAGCUGUUUGAGCGCCAUGGUGAAAUCAUAAAAAUUGUUCUCCCCCCUUCAAAAGAUGGUCAUGAUAAUAGGUAUGGUUUUGUUCACUUUAAAGACCGCCACAUGGCCAUGAAGGCUGUGAAGAGCACAGAGAAAUAUGAGCUUGACGGUCAGCUCCUGGACUGCUCACUCGCAAAACCUCCUGCUGAUAAAAAAGACGAUACAGUAUCAUUGCCUACUGCCAAAGGAGGUCCGUUGCUGCAUGCUCCGCUUGGAUAUGGUAUGCCACGGCCAGAUCCUUAUGGUGCGCCUCCUGCUUAUAGUGCCCCUCCUGCUUAUGGUGCACCUCCUGCUUAUGGUGGACAGCCUCUGCUCUAUGCUCCAGGAGCUCCUCCAGGUGCAGCAAUGGUUCCAAUGCUUCUACCUGAUGGCCGUCUUGUAUAUGUUGUGCAACAGCCUGGAGCGCAGCAACAUUUCGCUUCCCCUCCGCCCCAGGUGCGGCAACAUCAGCAUUUCACGUCUCCUCCGCCACAGGCACGGCAAAUUGGACGCAGUGGUGGCAGCGGUGGCGGUGGAGGCAGUGGUGGAUCGAGUAGGUCCGGUUCCGGUACAAAGCGCCCAAGGGGAGAUGACAACAACAGCAGCAGUCGCAACCGACAACGCCGGUAUUGAUCGCAGGAGGUGUAUGGUGGUGCUUCGGUUCUAGCGCCAGCAAAUUGUGUAAUAAGUACUGUCGGAUUUUCCUACAAACCUGCUUAACCCGGUGAACUGUGAAACCCGCAUCACUAUUCGUUCGGAACUGUGUUAGGUCACCUCGAGGUAGUUUUGGUUUGUCUAGGCGUAAUUUCUUGUAAUGUGGAUCAAGUUUAGAAAUGGCAAGAACAGCAUCGGUGUCUGAUGUCUAGUAGUAUCCAUAGGCUGCAGUGCCAAGAAGAACCCAGAGCUGAUCGCAGAAUAACAGCAACUUCGGCUCGGAGAAUCCAAGAUCGGCAGCCCUCAAUUGGGAUGAGCUUGAGCUGGACCAGGUAGACCUUACUGACAUGGAGGGUGACUUCUCAUUCGAGGAGAUUAAGCGGGCGAUUGAUGACAUCCCUGCCGAAAAAGCGCCAGGACCUGAUGGUUUUUCAGGCGGUUUCUUCAAAUCGUGUUGGGAUACAAUCAAAGCCGACCUUUUCGAGGCGCUGAACCAGCUCUAUCACAUGGACAGCCGGGGCUUGAAUCGCAUAAACAGCUGACUCGCUCAAAGACUUCCUACCAAUCUCGCUAUUGCACAGCCUCAUCAAGAUCUUCACCAAAUUC